This 497-nucleotide ribosomal RNA is filed under the name uncultured bacterium. RNAcentral describes it as "partial 16S ribosomal RNA". It matches the Rfam family "Bacterial small subunit ribosomal RNA", at positions 28 to 507 of the family's 1533-position model. The record is from RNAcentral.
GAUGAACGCUGGCGGCGUGCCUAAUACAUGCAAGUCGAGCGAACGGACGAGAAGCUUGCUUUUCUGAUGUUAGCGGCGGACGGGUGAGUAACACGUGGAUAACCUACCUAUAAGACUGGGAUAACUUCGGGAAACCGGAGCUAAUACCGGAUAAUAUUUUGAACCGCAUGGUUCAAAAGUGAAAGACGGUCUUGCUGUCACUUAUAGAUGGAUCCGCGCUGCAUUAGCUAGUUGGUAAGGUAACGGCUUACCAAGGCAACGAUGCAUAGCCGACCUGAGAGGGUGAUCGGCCACACUGGAACUGAGACACGGUCCAGACUCCUACGGGAGGCAGCAGUAGCGAAUCUUCCGCAAUGGGCGAAAGCCUGACGGAGCAACGCCGCGUGAGUGAUGAAGGUCUUCGGAUCGUAAAACUCUGUUAUUAGGGAAGAACAUAUGUGUAAGUAACUGUGCACAUCUUGACGGUACCUAAUCAGAAAGCCACGGCUAACUACGUG